GGCGGACGGUGAGUACGCGUGAGUAACCUGCCUUACACAGGGGAUAGCAGCUGGAAACGGCUGGUAAUACCGCAUAAGACCACGGUGCCGCAAGGCACAGGGGUAAAAGAUUUAUCGGUGUGAGAUGGAUCCGCGUCUGAUUAGCCAGUUGGCGGGUAACGGCCACCAAAGCGACGAUCAGUAGCCGGCCUGAGAGGGUGAACGGCCACAUUGGGACUGAGACACGGCCCAAACUCCUACGGGAGGCAGCAGUGGGGAAUAUUGCACAAUGGGCGCAAGCCUGAUGCAGCAACGCCCGCGUGAGUGAAGAAGUAUUUCGGUAUGUAAAGCUCUAUCGGCAGGGAAGAAAGGCCCGCAAGGGAGAUGACGGUACCUGACUAAGAAGCCCCGGCUAACUACGUGCCAGCCGCCGC
RNAcentral lists this ribosomal RNA (413 nucleotides) under uncultured bacterium. RNAcentral describes it as "bacterial SSU rRNA". It matches the Rfam family "Bacterial small subunit ribosomal RNA", at positions 97 to 518 of the family's 1533-position model. The record is from RNAcentral.